This is a non-coding RNA of Chlorocebus sabaeus (green monkey), 1510 nucleotides long. Lineage: Eukaryota; Metazoa; Chordata; Mammalia; Primates; Cercopithecidae. The record is from RefSeq and is a predicted model, not a curated record.
CAGGGUAUGAUGUGAUUGCUCAAGCUCAGUCAGGUACUGGCAAGACAGCCACAUUUGCUAUUUCCAUCCUGCAACAGUUGGAGAUUGAGUUCAAGGAGACCCAAGCACCAGUAUUGGCCCCCACCAGAGAGCUGGCUCAACAGAUCCAAAAGGUAAUUCUGGCACUUGGAGACUAUAUGGGAGCAACUUGUCAUGCCUGCAUUGGUGGAACAAAUGUUCGAAAUGAAAUGCAAAAACUGCAGGCUGAAGCACCACAUAUUGUUGCUGGUACACCAGGAGAGUGUUUGAUAUGUUAAACAGAAGACAUCUUUCUCCAAAAUUGAUCAAAAUGUUUAUUUUGGAUGAAGCAGAUGAAAUGUUGAGCCAUGGGUUUAAGGAUCAAAUCUAUGAGAUUUUCCAAAAACUAAACACAAGUAUUCAGGUUGUGUUGCUUUCUGCCACAAUGCCCAACUGAUGUGUUGGAAGUGACCAAAAAAUUUAUGAGAGGUCCAGUUUGAAUUCUGGUGAAAAAGGAAGAAUUGACCCUUGAAGGAAUCAAAUAGUUUUAUAUUAAUGUUGAGAGAGAGGAAUGGAAGUUGGAUACGCUUCGUGACUUGUACGAGACACUGACCAUUAUGCAAGCUGUUAUUUUUCUCAAUACGAGGCUCAAGGUGGACUGGCUUACUGAGAAAAUGCAUGCCAGAGACUUCACAGCUUCUGCUCUGCAUGGUGACGUGAACCAGAAGGAGACAGAUGUUAUCAUGAGGAAAUUCCAGUCAGGGUCAAGUCAUGUUCUGAUCACUGCUGACUUGUUGGUUCAUGGGAAUGAUGUGCAACAAGUGUCUUUGGUUAUAAAUUAUGAUCUACCUACCAAUCGUGAAAACUAUUUUCACAGGGCGAGUCGACUUGGCAGAGGGGAUCGAUUUGGGAGGAAAGGUGUGGCUAUAAACUUUGUUACUGAAGAAGACAAGAGGAUUCUUCAUGACAUUGAGACUUUCUACAAUACUACAGUGGAGGGGAUGCCCAUGAAUGUGGCUGACCUGAUUUAAUUCCUGGGAUGAGAGUUUUGGAUGCAGUGCUCGCUGUUGCUGAAUAGGCGAUCACAACAUGCAUUGUGCUUCUUUCUUCGGGAAUAUUUGAAUCUUGUCUCAAUGUUCAUAACGGAUCAGAAAUACAGAUUUUGAUAGCAAAGCAACAUUAGUCAUGAGCUCUUGUGAGGAAAGUUACUGGCUUUAUCCUCUUUAGAGUUAGACUGUUGGGGUGGGUAUAAAAGAUGGGGUCUGUAAAAUCUUUCUUUCUUAGAAAUUUAUUUCCUAGUUCUGUAGAAAUGGUUGUAUUAGAUGUUCUCUAUCAUUUAAUAAUAUACUUGUGGACUAAAAGAUAUAAGUGCUGUAUAAAAUCAUCCAAUUAUAUUAAACUAGCAUAUCUGCCUUUGUUGUGUUUGUCAUUAGCCUGAGUAGAAAGGCCUUUAAAACUUUUUUAGAAUGCAUUUUAUUUGGUAUUGUAUUUAUUCAAUGAAGUAUUUAAUUAG